GGUCAUAUAGCUCAGCGGUAGAGCGCUACGUUGACAUCGUAGAGGUCACAGGUUCGAUCCCUGUUGUGACCACCA
Molecule: transfer RNA, 75 nt
Filed under: Holosporales bacterium
Lineage: Bacteria; Pseudomonadati; Pseudomonadota; Alphaproteobacteria; Holosporales
Description: tRNA-Val
Rfam family: tRNA
About the family: Transfer RNA (tRNA) molecules are approximately 80 nucleotides in length. Their secondary structure includes four short double-helical elements and three loops (D, anti-codon, and T loops). Further hydrogen bonds mediate the characteristic L-shaped molecular structure. tRNAs have two regions of fundamental functional importance: the anti-codon, which is responsible for specific mRNA codon recognition, and the 3' end, to which the tRNAs corresponding amino acid is attached (by aminoacyl-tRNA synthetases). tRNAs cope with the degeneracy of the genetic code in two manners: having more than one tRNA (with a specific anti-codon) for a particular amino acid; and 'wobble' base-pairing, i.e. permitting non-standard base-pairing at the 3rd anti-codon position.
Source: RNAcentral